AGAAUCAACGCUGGCGGCGCGCUUAACACAUGCAAGUCGAACGAGAAAGGGGAGCAAUCCCUGAGUAAAGUGGCGUACUGGUGAGUAACACGUGGAUAUCUACCUCUUGGUGGGGAAUAACCUGGGGAAACCUGGGCUAAUACCGCAUAAGUUCGUGAGAAGAAAGGCGUAAGUCGCCGAGAGAGGAGUCCGCGGUCGAUUAGGUAGUUGGCGGGGUAAGAGCCCACCAAGCCAAAGAUCGAUAGCCGGCCUGAGAGGGCACACGGCCACACUGGCACUGAAACACGGGCCAGACUCCUACGGGAGGCAGCAGUGGGGAAUCUUGCACAAUGGGGGAAACCCUGAUGCAGCGACGCCGCGUGAGCGAUGAAGCCCUUCGGGUGUAAAGCUCUUUCGGCAGGAACGAUAAUGACGUACCUGACAAGAAGAAGCGUGCGGACUAACGUACGUACGCCAGCACGCCGAC
Molecule: ribosomal RNA, 466 nt
Filed under: uncultured soil bacterium
Lineage: Bacteria
Description: bacterial SSU rRNA
Rfam family: Bacterial small subunit ribosomal RNA
Source: RNAcentral